Molecule: ribosomal RNA, 938 nt
Filed under: Neisseria mucosa
Lineage: Bacteria; Pseudomonadati; Pseudomonadota; Betaproteobacteria; Neisseriales; Neisseriaceae
Description: bacterial SSU rRNA
Rfam family: Bacterial small subunit ribosomal RNA
Source: RNAcentral
AAUACGUAGGGUGCGAGCGUUAAUCGGAAUUACUGGGCGUAAAGCGAGCGCAGACGGUUACUUAAGCAGGAUGUGAAAUCCCCGGGCUCAACCUGGGAACUGCGUUCUGAACUGGGUGACUAGAGUGUGUCAGAGGGAGGUAGAAUUCCACGUGUAGCAGUGAAAUGCGUAGAGAUGUGGAGGAAUACCGAUGGGCGAAAGGCAGCCUCCUGGGGAUAACACUGACGUUCAUGCUCGAAAAGCGUGGGUAGCAAACAGGAUUAGAUACCCUGGUAGUCCACGCCCUAAACGAUGUCAAUUAGCUGUUGGGCAACUUGAUUGCUUAGUAGCGUAGCUAACGCGUGAAAUUGACCGCCUGGGGAGUACGGUCGCAAGAUUAAAACUCAAAGGAAUUGACGGGGACCCGCACAAGCGGUGGAUGAUGUGGAUUAAUUCGAUGCAACGCGAAGAACCUUACCUGGUCUUGACAUGUACGGAAUCCUCCAGAGACGGAGGAGUGCCUUCGGGAGCCGUAACACAGGUGCUGCAUGGCUGUCGUCAGCUCGUGUCGUGAGAUGUUGGGUUAAGUCCCGCAACGAGCGCAACCCUUGUCAUUAGUUGCCAUCAUUAAGUUGGGCACUCUAAUGAGACUGCCGGUGACAAGCCGGAGGAAGGUGGGGAUGACGUCAAGUCCUCAUGGCCCUUAUGACCAGGGCUUCACACGUCAUACAAUGGUCGGUACAGAGGGUAGCCAAGCCGCGAGGCGGAGCCAAUCUCACAAAACCGAUCGUAGUCCGGAUUGCACUCUGCAACUCGAGUGCAUGAAGUCGGAAUCGCUAGUAAUCGCAGGUCAGCAUACUGCGGUGAAUACGUUCCCGGGUCUUGUACACACCGCCCGUCACACCAUGGGAGUGGGGGAUACCAGAAGUAGGUAGGGUAACCGCAAGGAGCCCGCUACC